RNAcentral lists this microRNA precursor (93 nucleotides) under Gossypium raimondii (Peruvian cotton). RNAcentral's name for it is "miR8692 stem-loop (gra-MIR8692)". Lineage: Eukaryota; Viridiplantae; Streptophyta; Magnoliopsida; Malvales; Malvaceae. The record is from miRBase by way of RNAcentral.
UCAGGAUAUCGCGUCCAUGUCAGCGCGACCUGCUGACGUGGCGUGAUUUCCUUCCACGUCAGCAGGUCGCGCUGACGUGGACACGAUGUCCUG